Biomphalaria pfeifferi is the source of this 603-nucleotide non-coding RNA. NCBI's taxonomy places the organism in Eukaryota, Metazoa, Mollusca, Gastropoda, Planorbidae. The record is from the annotation of a GenBank genome assembly.
AUAAAAAUAAAACGUAACCCGUACAGAAAUUGUAGCAAUCAAAUUAUCAAAUCUCUGUCUUGCAGAACCCAGUGCACAUUUAAAAAAAAUCUAUUUCAUUUUGGCUGAUUGAUAAUUCAUUCAACUGUACAUAAUUAUUAUGUUAGUUAAUUUAAUUUUUAAAAAUAUAUUUUGUGUAUUGUAUUGCAGGAAGUAGUUAUGAAUAUAUUUAUAUAUAUUAAUACUCAAUUUUUAAAAUGCUAGUUUUAAUUUUUUCUUAUACUACAUUGUCUUUUUAUAGGUUUCUUUUUCUUUUUUUUUUGGUUAUUAUCAAGAAAGACUUAGAGUCAGUCACAGUCAACUGCUUCCUAUUUCCCAGUUGCUGCUCUAUAUUUGGCAGUAGAUUAUUUGAAUAGCACAUAUUGGGAUUUACUUUUUUCUAAAACAAACAUUUCUUUCUUUUUUCUUUUUUGAGAUAUUGCAUAUGGUCACAUAGGAAGCUAUUCCAAAUAUUUACUCUCUAAAAAUAUUCCUGUCAUUUCUAAAAAAUAUCCAUCCAUUUCAGUGCUAUCUGCUAAUAAAUUUAGCAAAUACCAAAUAGCAUAAACGAGAUUGAAAAUAUCC